Molecule: unclassified non-coding RNA, 216 nt
Filed under: Hevea brasiliensis (rubber tree)
Lineage: Eukaryota; Viridiplantae; Streptophyta; Magnoliopsida; Malpighiales; Euphorbiaceae
Source: RNAcentral
GAGUGUACAAAGACAAUUUACACAGAAAAAGAUAAAGAUUUUCUCUCCCAAAUUGUGUUUCAACAUGGUAUCAGAACUAAUAGGUCAAUAAGGAUAAGUAUGAAAAUGGUGGUUGGUGAUCCCCGUGGUACCCCAACACGUUGAUGGAAGAGCAAGUAGGCUCUCGGUAGGUCCAAUGAAGCAAUAAGGCACUCUUCUGGAGAAGAGCAGACCGAU